AUCCAGCUGACGAGUCUCGAAUAAAACGUAACGCACGUCCUGGAU
Molecule: non-coding RNA, 45 nt
Organism: Schistosoma curassoni
Lineage: Eukaryota; Metazoa; Platyhelminthes; Trematoda; Strigeidida; Schistosomatidae
Source: Rfam